This 318-nucleotide ribosomal RNA is filed under the name uncultured Sneathia sp. RNAcentral describes it as "bacterial SSU rRNA". It matches the Rfam family "Bacterial small subunit ribosomal RNA", at positions 191 to 525 of the family's 1533-position model. The record is from RNAcentral. Lineage: Bacteria; Fusobacteriati; Fusobacteriota; Fusobacteriia; Fusobacteriales; Leptotrichiaceae.
UAUGCAAAAUGAAAAGCUACGGCACUAAAGGAGAGCUUUGCGUCCUAUUAGCUAGUUGGUAAGGUAAGAGCUUACCAAGGCGAUGAUAGGUAGCCGGCCUGAGAGGGUGGACGGCCACAAGGGGACUGAGAUACGGCCCUUACUCCUACGGGAGGCAGCAGUGGGGAAUAUUGGACAAUGGAGGGAACUCUGAUCCAGCAAUUCUGUGUGUGUGAAGAAGGUUUUAGGACUGUAAAACACUUUUAGUAGGGGAAGAAAAAAAUGACGGUACCUACAGAAGAAGCAACGGCUAAAUACGUGCCAGCAGCCGCGGUAAAU